AGCAGCUAUUAUCUUAGGUACAAUGGGUUCAGGAGCGGGGGCAAUUGACUCCAAAGGUUCGUAUUGUCUGGAGAUAGCAUCAGCCUUGACAUUAUGGUACCCAGGCCUAUAUGUGAUAAUGAACUGAAAGCGUGAAAGAAAUAAGGACCAUCUGGCUUGACGAGAGGACAACCUUUUAGCAUCUGCUAUAUAGGAGAGAUUCUUAUGAUCAGUUAUAACCAGGAUUUUGUGUCUAG
Pelobates cultripes (western spadefoot toad) is the source of this 236-nucleotide non-coding RNA. Lineage: Eukaryota; Metazoa; Chordata; Amphibia; Anura; Pelobatidae. The record is from the annotation of a GenBank genome assembly.